AACGAACGCUGGCGGCAUGCCUAACACAUGCAAGUCGAACGAGACCUUCGGGUCUAGUGGCGCACGGGUGCGUAACGCGUGGGAACCUGCCCUUAGGUUCGGAAUAACUCCCCGAAAGGGGUGCUAAUACCGGAUAAUGUCUUCGGACCAAAGAUUUAUCGCCUUUGGAUGGGCCCGCGUUGGAUUAGCUAGUUGGUAGGGUAAAAGCCUACCAAGGCGACGAUCCAUAGCUGGUCUGAGAGGAUGAUCAGCCACACUGGGACUGAGACACGGCCCAGACUCGUACGGGAGGAAGCCGUAGGGACUAUUCCGGAAGGGGCGAAAGCCUGACGGUGCAACGCCGCGUGAGUGAUGAAGGGCUUCGGAUCGUAAAACUAUGUAAUUAGGGAAGAACAAAUGUGUAAGUAAAUAUGCACGUCUUGACGGUACCUAAUCAGAAAGCGACGGCUAGCUACGUG
Molecule: ribosomal RNA, 458 nt
Filed under: uncultured bacterium
Lineage: Bacteria
Description: partial 16S ribosomal RNA
Rfam family: Bacterial small subunit ribosomal RNA
Source: RNAcentral